AAGGAGGCUUCGGCCUCUGGAGAGCGGCGAACGGGUGAGUAACACGUGGGUAAUCUGCCUGGGAGCGCGGGAUAACCUGGGGAAACUCGGGCUAAUACCGCGUACGUUGACGGGGCUUCGGUUCUGUCAAGAAAGCUGGCCUCUGCUUGCAAGCUAGCGCUCCCAGAGGAGCCCGCGGCUGAUUAGCUAGUUGGUGAGGUAAAGGCUCACCAAGGCUUCGAUCAGUAGCCGGCCUGAGAGGGUGAUCGGCCACACUGGGACUGAGACACGGCCCAGACUCCUACGGGAGGCAGCAGUGGGGAAUAUUGGACAAUGGGCGCAAGCCUGAUCCAGCAACGCCGCGUGGAGGAUGAAGGUCUUCGGAUCGUAAACUCCUGUCAGAUGGGACGAAGGAUUCAGGGUGAACAAUCCUGGAUCUUGACGGUACCAUCAGAGGAAGCCCCGGCUAACUCCGUGCCAGCAGCCGCGGUAAUACGGAGGGGGCGAGCGUUAUUCGGAAUUAUUGGGCGUAAAGGGCGCGUANGCGGCCCGGUAAGUCAAAGGUGAAAUCCCUCGGCUCAACUGAGGAACUGCCUUUGAAACUGUCGGGCUUGAGGCCGGGAGAGGGUAGUGGAAUUCCCAGUGUAGCGGUGAAAUGCGUAGAUAUUGGGAGGAACACCAGUGGCGAAGGCGGCUACCUGGACCGGUUCUGACGCUGAUGCGCGAAAGCGUGGGUAGCAAACAGGAUUAGAUACCCUGGUAGUCCACGCUGUAAACGAUGGGUGCUCGGUGUCGCGGGUAUCGACCCCUGCGGUG
Molecule: ribosomal RNA, 795 nt
Filed under: uncultured Bacillota bacterium
Lineage: Bacteria; Bacillati; Bacillota
Description: bacterial SSU rRNA
Rfam family: Bacterial small subunit ribosomal RNA
Source: RNAcentral